RNAcentral lists this long non-coding RNA (1313 nucleotides) under Monodelphis domestica (gray short-tailed opossum). Its description in RNAcentral is "lncRNA (ENSMODG00000045342.1)". The record is from RNAcentral. Lineage: Eukaryota; Metazoa; Chordata; Mammalia; Didelphimorphia; Didelphidae.
GUGCAAGCCACCAUGUAUUUAAAAAUAUAUUUACAUUAGUAUAACUAUGGGAUCCAAGGCUUGUAGAAUGACAUUGAAAACAAAAGACAGAAUUGGAAGCAAUGGGCAGAGGUUGUAAAGAGUUAAGUUUAGGCCUAAUAAUUAGAUUUAUCCUGCAUUUGAAUGAACUACCUUGGAUGGGUGUGGGUUUCCCCUUCCCUAGAGGUCUUCAAACACAAGUUAAAUGAUACCUUGUCAUGGGUGAAGUGGGAACACCUGUUCAGUUGCAUGCUGGAACAUAUGGCCUCUAAGGACCCUACCCUACUAUCCCUGAGAUUCUGUGAGAAUUAAACAUUUGUUAAAUUUCAAAUACCACAUUUGAGUAGUGUGCCCUCUUCUUUGGAGAAUUCACUGUUUCCUGCUCUCAUUUACCACAUAAUCAGUCCAGUUGAUUCCUUGAAGAUCCAUGUCCAGUGGUGGUUAUUGUUACUGCUACUUAGAAGCCCCUCCAUGUACAAAAUGUCCUUCUAUUUUUCAAUUGUACUAAUUAAUUUGCAUCUGAAUUUUGCAUAUAUUUUUAGGACGAGUGAUGAGAAAUCAGCUCACUAAGUCCACAUUUCAGGUUUAUCUACAUGUGUGUUGAGCUCAAGUCAUUCUAUAUACUGAAAUAGAGGCUAACAAGCAUGAGAGAAAUGAGAAGCAUAAUAAUAACAUCUUGAUUAAUUGAUAUCUAAAUAGUCAGAAGUUCUGUUCAUUAGAAUUGCUUUCCUGAAUUUAGCUUUAUUAUUCAGUGAUAAAUGACAAAAAAAUAAAUUGAUGCCAGAAAUCCUUUUGUUACUAACUGGCCUUUUCAAUCUCCUUACGAAAAGUAAACUCCCGAAUCAUCAAAGAUAAACUGAAUUAAGUGUAGUUUAUUGAAAUCUUACUCUGGCAGGAAAACAGCGUAAUAUAUUUUUUAAUUGUUUUGUUUUGUUUUUUAUUUUUACUAUGAAUGUAAACAUCAACAACAUGAACAUUUCACAAAAUGAGGAAGCAUUGGAUGGAAGAUGCCAAGAUACUAAUUUAGGCUUGAGGGAAAUUUUAAAGCUGAUCCCUUCCAGUUUUCAUGAUUGGGCAUUGCCAGUUUUUCAUGUUCAUCUUUAUUCUAAUUCCACUCGCCUAUCCAUGCAAGACAUGAGGGAGGGAAGUGUGAGUUCAAAUCCUGUCACUGACACUUACUAGCUGUGUGAGCAUAGACAAACCAUUUAAUCACUCUAAAAUUCAGUUUUGUCAUCUGCAAAAUGUGGGGGAUAAUAUUGUAGUAUCUAUCUCAGAAUAUUUCUGUAGACUCAUGA